GAUGAACGCUAGCUACAGGCCUAACACAUGCAAGUCGAGGGACCGGCGCACGGGUGAGUAAUACGUAUCCAACCUGCCCUUUACUCGGGGAUAGCCUUUCGAAAGAAAGAUUAAUACCCGAUAUAAAGGAUGGGUUUGCGUUCCAUUAGGUUGUUGGUGAGGUAACGGCCCACCAAGCCUUCGAUGGAUAGGGGUUCUGAGAGGAAGGUCCCCCACAUUUGAACUGAGGCACAGUCCAAACUCCGACGGGAGGCAGGAGUGAGGAAUAUUAGUCAAUGAGCGUUAGCCUGAACCAGCCAAGUAGCGUGAAGGAUGAAGGCUUAUGAGUCGUAAACUUCUUUUGUAUAAGAAUAUGUAUUAUAUGAAUAAGGAUCGGCUAACUCCGUGCCAGCAGCCGCGGUAAUUC
RNAcentral lists this ribosomal RNA (406 nucleotides) under uncultured bacterium. RNAcentral describes it as "partial 16S ribosomal RNA". It matches the Rfam family "Bacterial small subunit ribosomal RNA", at positions 28 to 526 of the family's 1533-position model. The record is from RNAcentral.